CACGGAGUUAGCCGGUGCUUCUUCUGCGGGUAACGUCAAUUGCUGUGGUUAUUAACCACAGCACCUUCCUCCCCGCUGAAAGUACUUUACAACCCGAAGGCCUUCUUCAUACACGCGGCAUGGCUGCAUCAGGCUUGCGCCCAUUGUGCAAUAUUCCCA
RNAcentral lists this ribosomal RNA (159 nucleotides) under uncultured bacterium. RNAcentral's name for it is "partial 16S ribosomal RNA". The record is from RNAcentral.